Long non-coding RNA from Oryzias latipes (Japanese medaka), 784 nucleotides. RefSeq lists it as uncharacterized. The record is from RefSeq and is a predicted model, not a curated record. Lineage: Eukaryota; Metazoa; Chordata; Actinopteri; Beloniformes; Adrianichthyidae.
UUUUACAAAUCAAGCUUGCUGAUUCACAGAUCGAACUACGAUUCUUACUUUUUAAUAUAUGUUUGUACAGAUGCUAGAUGUCUUCUUACUGGAUGUAUGAAAAAUGAAAAUAAAAUGUGUUAAAUAACCCUCGUUCAUACUGUAACCGGCAGGUCUGCCUGUGACAGGUGUAGGCCUGCUGAUUGGGGAUUUGGUACAGCUGUGUCUGUCCCUAUAUAAGAAACAAGGAGUGAGUGGACAGACAGUGGCUGCCUCUUUGCGUGGUGAUGCUGUAAGCGGCUGGACGUGUUGCAGAUGUCAUGAGCCACUGCGUGUUCUGUACCCACCCUUUUUAUACAUUUUAAUGUGCUUUUAGAGUGAUGUAUGUAUUGUGUGGUUAACUCUGUUUUAUCUUAUUGUUUACUAGGUCUGAGUCGGGUGCGUGUGGAGUCGGUGAGGGGGGCCCCUGGUGGCGGCGUCUUCCUCACUCCAGUUCCCUCACUGUAUUUGUUUAUUCCCCAUUUAGUGUGUAGUGAAAGUUUCUUUGGCAUGUUUUUUUUCUUAUCUUGUGUGGGUUUGUUUUAGUUGUUUUCAGCACGGAUUGGAGUGAGGUGCGCUGCCCCUUUACUGGCUUAGUCCACGGCCUCUCUCCUUCCCUCCCCUCCUGCACGGGCGGUCGGCUCGGCCUUCCGGUUUUUAUCUCUGCAUCUCUUUUUUUUUUGUAUUUUAUGUGUCCAGUUAAUCAGAGUAAAACUACAAUUUUAGAUUUUAAACUUGUUCAUUAAAUUAAAUUUUUAUAAGCUUU